ACUCAGACGCAUGGCUUGCGUCUCGUUCGCGCGCGUACGUAUGGCUGUGGUCCGCUUUUAGUUUUUGGCGAAUGCUUAUAGAAGCUUCAAGUUGCGGACACUGCGGUGGGCCAGGGCUUGAUGACAUUUGUUGCCCAGCUGCUGGUGCUACCGCGACGUACUUGGAGCAACGCUUCUGCUUAUUUCCUCUGCCUGCACCUUAUAUUUGUUGUGUUUAUUGAGACCUGGCCUGUCUCUGCCUCGUUGAAGACAAAUGGACACAAGUACUGGUCGCUGUUGGUUUGUUUGGUUUGCUCAGUCUGAGCGUGAUCUAUUUGUGAACUUCCCAAGCCACUUCACAACUGCAAGCUGAAUCUGAUGUAUGCUGUCUCAGGGUCAUGACCUAUAUUUGGGGGAAGACUAAGAAUGCAGCCUGUGACUGAAGUUUCAGUGUUUUGAGCCCACCAUUUCGAAAUGCUUUUUAUGUGCACUCAGUAGGAGACAGUUCUCCAAGCUUCUUGAUAUGAUUUUCAGUGAUACUAGAAGCAAAGCUUAUUAGUUGUAUUAUACUAAAUUUUCAUAUUUUCUCUAAUAUACUGUGGUCGCGAUAACACCACACUGCUUAAAAGGCAUAGAAAAUAAAAAAGCUACUUAUUUGCCCUAGUAUAAUGUAGAAAUCGGCAUUCUGCAGUCUGAAAAGUGAAAACAAAAACAUUAUCGUUGCAACAUUCACAACCACUUUAGCUGCUCAUAAAAUCAUUGAUGUACAUGUAAAGAGCCUCUAUGUUGUGUCUGUUAAAAACAUGCUCCAUCAUGCUGCAGCAUUAUGCACAUUAGCUUUGUGUAGAAGCCACAGCAGUUGCAAUGUGCUGCACCGCAAUGCACCUUGGUUAUGUGGAAAAGCUACCAUUGUUGCUAUGCUCUUUACUGUUAUACACGUCAACCUUGUGGCAAAGCCACUGCACUUGCAAUGUGCUGCACCUCAAAACGUUUCAGGUAUGUGGGAAUGCACACUUGCAUGCGCUAGAUUUGGGCAUUUUUAAUGCAAAUAAUUAUUUUUUCAUACCAAGCACUUUGCAGUAGGCAAUUUUACGUCCCGACUCGUUUCGGUCUUCUGCAUUGAAAACAAAAAUAUGUUACAGUGACCCCGAACCUGUUUCCCAGCAUAACAACCUGACACUCUAGCCAUUUGACCACUGUCGUGCACAUACUUCUUGCUCUCCAAUGCAUUGCUGUGUGUAUGGGAUAGUGGCACGUGUAUAACAGUGCAUAAUACAUGUCAGAGCAUGUGUGCAUAUACAAGUUGCUUAUCAAACUGUGAGCAUGUCAGUUUCUCCCAUUCUUCCUUUGUAGCUGGACUUCGAGGUGCUUUGUUAGAAUGCACCACCUUCGGGAUUCGCUCACAUUUCCAAGUCCCCCUCACUGUAGCAGCUAGCACAACAUGGACACUGUACCUUUAUGCUGUAAUGUUUCUUCACUGGAGUACAAAAAGGAAUUGUGUAGAUCCAACAUACAUGUUAAAAGUGGUUAAUGAGAAUCUAUGAAACAUUCAUAUUUAAUGCAUUGUUGCAAUCCAAAUGAUGGAAAGCGUAUUUGCGUUGGCAAGCUAGCAGUAGCAGAUGUCACAGGCAUGUUAUGCAGGGAAGCCACCUUAUCACCUAUAGCUGUUCUCUGUGCAGUGAGGAUGAAGGUGACAUGUGCUUGUUUAGUGAAGAACGUUGACAAGAGGUGUAUGCACAGAGACAUAUGACACUUAUCUUAAUACUACAUGUAAGGCUUGUAUACUUGUGUCGCAGCGACACAUACCUAUUCUAUGAGAUGGGCCUAGAAUAGGCACGUGCCCAUUUGCGCAUACUGCAUAAGCCAAGUUUUCCACUCGUCAAAACAGCUGCCACAACAGUGUUAGGAAAGAGGCAAAGAAACCAUGCCUUUGCAUUCAUACUCUCCUCACAAAGCUUGUGUCAUAUAUGCAAUCACUCGCCAUACACAAACACAUUGGUCAACACUGCAAUGUUUGGAAGAACCCAAACCAACGCUACAUAGCCAUUUACCUGCAACAUAAAUCCCGACUGUGUCUGGAAUCUACAUAAUGUUUCUUAAUUUUUCAGGCAUUUGGUGGUAGAGGCCAGCGCAUUAGACAGAAAUCCUUCUUGACUGCAGCAAUGUUCAGAAUGUAGUAUGAGGUACUCUGUCUAGCUGGAAGUUGAAGAUGGAAGUUAUAUUAGUAGUUAAAAUAUAGUAGCUAGUACUGAAACUACACAUGCAAUCAAGGCUGAGCCACAUGCAAACACGGAAGAGCAGACACACACGGUGGUCACUUGAGCUGGCAUUGUGUAGCUUUACCAACAAGCCCAGCUGGACACUGAAGUAAGGCAUGUUGUUGGGUUAGUCAGCUUGUAGCUUCAGCAAAAUUUUAAACUGUGUGAGGAAGACAGGACAUGAACAAAAGCAUAGAUGCAUGCGCAAAGUAUAGACUUCCGACUGGCUUUGUUUGGUGAAGGCAGAGAGUUUAUAAGGUUCUUCAAAAUGGCAAAACAAAAAACAUUCGCAAAGAAAUUGUGCAAGAGGCAGAUAUGAAAAAUAGCAAGGCCACCUGUGCAUUAAGAGUGCAGUAGAGUCCCAAGGUGCCCAUCUAAGAAUUCUAUUUCUUUCCUUGAUAGGUAUCAAGAAGGUGAGCUAACUUAGUUCUCACAAAUUUUAGCGAUGUGGAAUGCUUUGAUGACUUCUCUUUCUGCUUUUGAGCUUGCCUUCGAAAGGAAUUUAUUCUGUUCCAGAUGAGGCAGGCAGCUUUUGCUUUCGCAGCUCCUGCACUGCAAGAGGAGAUUCUCAAGGAAAUAAUUGCCUGCAUGUAAAAGAAGUUUCUGGAAGUUA
Dermacentor albipictus is the source of this 2850-nucleotide non-coding RNA. NCBI's taxonomy places the organism in Eukaryota, Metazoa, Arthropoda, Arachnida, Ixodida, Ixodidae. The record is from RefSeq and is a predicted model, not a curated record.